GAUGAAGAACGUAGUGAAAUGCGAUAAGUAAUGUGAAUUGCAGAAUUCAGUGAAUCAUCGAAUCUUUGAACGCACAUUGCGCCCGCUAGUAUUCUGGCGGGCAUGCCUGUUCGAGCGUCAUUUCAACCAUCAAGCCCUGUUUAGGCUUGUGUUGGGGCCCUGCGGUUGCCGCAGCCCCCUAAAUGCAGUGGCGGGCUCGUCGUCACUCCGAGCGCAGUAGCGUAUCUCGCUCUGGGCGUGGCGGCGGGUGCUAGCCGUGAAACACCCACUAAGGUUGACCUCGGAUCAGGUAGGAAUACCCGCUGAACUUAAGCAUAUCAAUAAGCGGAGGA
RNAcentral lists this unclassified non-coding RNA (332 nucleotides) under soil metagenome. RNAcentral's name for it is "partial contains 5.8S ribosomal RNA, internal transcribed spacer 2, and large subunit ribosomal RNA". The stretch from base 1 to 120 matches the Rfam family "5.8S ribosomal RNA", at positions 35 to 154 of the family's 154-position model. The record is from RNAcentral.